UAUUAUUUCACGCACAUAAUCAGCAUAAACUAUUCUUACCCAUUUUCUCAAUUGCCCCACCUUUUAUUCCUUUUCUCUCUCCUCAAAUCCAAAACCUAAUCAUCUUCUUCCUCCCUCAAAUCCCAAAACCUAAUCACCACAUGUGCUUUCUCAAUUCAUCUGCUACAAUCAGAAUAUUUAUCUAUAGAAAAUGCUUAUAUAUUUUGGAGAGAUUAUGCUAGCCAAGGUUAAGUCACAACGCCAUUAAACUAAAACUAAAAGAUGGUGUUAUGAUUUAUGAACUUGUGAGUUCUAGUGUUCUAUAGAGCUGGUUUUCCCUUUUUACAUAUAUUUUGUUGUAAAUUUUUGCUAGUAAAAUUUAUUAGGUAGUUAAAGAUUUUUUAUCUUUUAGAUAUAUGUAUGUAUAUACUCCUUGUUUUCUAUCUCUAGAUCAAUUUUCAAUACCAUAAAUUAUCUCAAUUUUUAGUCAUUUAAAUAUUUUGUUAAUUCUGUUUUUUUUUCUUGCUUCUCCUUUGUUUGUUAAGCCCAUAAAAAUCUCCACGAACUGGAAAUAUGAAACAGUGACACUGAAGUUUGGAUAUCGGAUAUCCGUUAUACCCGAUCCGAGAACUUUCGGAUAUCAGAUAUCCGAAAAUGUUCGGAUCGGAUACGAAUAUGAAAUAUUAAAAUUUUCGGAUACGGAUAUCGAUCCGAAGUCGGAUUUCGGAUCGGAUAUCCGACCCGUGCUCAGCCCUAUUUCCAUGCCCCCAGGUACAAGUUCCAUAGAGAACAUCCUCGGAAUCCGAAGCUUGAUCAACACCAAUUGUCUGAUGAUCUUCUUGCUCGGGUGAACGAAGCUCGUUACGACCAGUGGCGAACUGACGGUCCUUUGGACCCCUUGCAUGUGACAACUUUGAUUCGUCAGUUGGUCACCACUUCGGAUCCGGGUCCCAAAGUAGUUGUUGUUGUUCUUCCGGUUCAAGCAUCAUCUUCACCUGCUGUGUUGGCAGCUCCGGCUCCCGAGGCUCAGGAGAAAGAAGACCGACCAGAGGCGAAGGAAGUCUUCUCAGCAUUCGAAGGCGAAAAAAAGACGAUCUUCAUCUUCUCCCGAGCGAGAGAAGAAGAAGAGGAAGUUUCCUGAGCCCUCGAAGCAGAAGAAGAAGUGGUUUCACUCUUCUCUCGAGCAAGAGAAGAAGAGGCCAUCUGAUCCCGAGGCUAAGAAAAGGAAAUUGCAAGAGCCGAAGGAGAAAGAAGUUAUUGUUUGGGAGUUCCUCAAGGAGAGGAAACCUGUUUCAAAUGCGGCUGUCUUGAAGGCUUUGGAAGUGGAUUCGAAACUUGGCAACUUCUCCAGUUCGGUAAACCAUCUCUCUUCGACCUCAAUGUAUUUAUACUUUCCCGAACUCUGAAGCAAACUUCACUGGGCCACGACGAUAUAAUAUAUUUUCAAGAAAAUUACGCGAGAACCCGCGGUAAAUAAAUAAGGAGAUUUUAUUC
Spinacia oleracea (spinach) is the source of this 1473-nucleotide long non-coding RNA. RefSeq lists it as uncharacterized. The transcript is spliced from 3 exons. Lineage: Eukaryota; Viridiplantae; Streptophyta; Magnoliopsida; Caryophyllales; Amaranthaceae. The record is from RefSeq and is a predicted model, not a curated record.